This 372-nucleotide ribosomal RNA is filed under the name uncultured organism. RNAcentral describes it as "partial 16S ribosomal RNA". It matches the Rfam family "Bacterial small subunit ribosomal RNA", at positions 527 to 896 of the family's 1533-position model. The record is from RNAcentral.
GUAGGUGGCAAGCGUUGUCCGGAAUUAUUGGGCGUAAAGCGCGCGCAGGCGGUUUUUUAAGUCUGAUGUGAAAGCCCACGGCUCAACCGUGGAGGGUCAUUGGAAACUGGAGAACUUGAGUACAGAAGAGGAAAGCGGAAUUCCACGUGUAGCGGUGAAAUGCGUAGAGAUGUGGAGGAACACCAGUGGCGAAGGCGGCUUUCUGGUCUGUAACUGACGCUGAGGCGCGAAAGCGUGGGGAGCAAACAGGGAUUAGGUACCCUGGUAGUCCACGCCGUAAACGAUGAGUGCUAAGUGUUAGGGGGUUUCCCGCCCCUUAGUGCUGCAGCUAACGCAUUAAGCACUCCGCCUGGGGAGUACGCCGCAAGGCUG